This 253-nucleotide ribosomal RNA is filed under the name uncultured bacterium. RNAcentral describes it as "partial 16S ribosomal RNA". It matches the Rfam family "Bacterial small subunit ribosomal RNA", at positions 524 to 776 of the family's 1533-position model. The record is from RNAcentral.
UACGUAGGGUGCAAGCGUUGUCCGGAAUUAUUGGGCGUAAAGAGCUCGUAGGCGGUUUGUUGCGUCGGCUGUGAAAUCCCGAGGCUCAACCUCGGGUCUGCAGUCGAUACGAGCAAACUAGAGUGUUGCAGGGGAGACUGGAAUUCCUGGUAUAGCGGUGAAAUGCGCAGAUAUCAGGAGGAACACCGGUGGCGAAGGCGGGUCUCUGGGCAACAACUGACGCUGAGGAGCGAAAGCGUGGGGAGCGAACAGG